AUGACCAGUUGGAGCGAGCGUUUGACAGUGAAAUUGAUUAAUCUAGAUUGUUACUCAUCAUGCAUGUGUUGUUGACAUCUAGAUGCCAAUAUGUCACAUUAAGAUCAAACAUUUGUUACUCAUAGUUAUAAUACAUUCGACUUUUGUCUGACGUAAGAUCAAGAAACUAUCUUCGGAAAUAUCACUAAUUCAUUAUAGACGGUGAUCUCAAGAGACAAACUGCAUUCUACCAACCUACUGGGCCCUUCAUUAGACUUCAGUAUUUCUAUAACUUUUGAAGCAUAUGUAGGAUUCUUCUCAUCCUUUCUACCCCCAGGUGCGCUGGUUGUCUUUGAUCAAAGGUUCUUUAUUUUCUGAAAAAUGCGAUUUAAUGAUGACCUAUGCAGCUGCAUUGCAUACAUAGAAUCUGAAUCUCAUUUUACGCUUAUUAUAAAUUGUGUUUAUAAAAUGUUAGUUUAUAUGAGUAAUAACUAGGGCACGAAACGAAAUCACCACUAUUUGGUCUUUCCCCAAACAGUGGGCCUAUGGCUUUAACAUUUAUGGUUUUAAUGUGUUAUAAAUACUUUGGUAAUAUCAUAAACUUGUGUAUUUAUUAUGGUAAUAUGCCC
RNAcentral lists this long non-coding RNA (608 nucleotides) under Helianthus annuus (common sunflower). The record is from RNAcentral. Lineage: Eukaryota; Viridiplantae; Streptophyta; Magnoliopsida; Asterales; Asteraceae.